RNAcentral lists this small RNA (29 nucleotides) under Bombyx mori (domestic silkworm). Its description in RNAcentral is "ovarian small RNA-30415". Lineage: Eukaryota; Metazoa; Arthropoda; Insecta; Lepidoptera; Bombycidae. The record is from RNAcentral.
UGAAACCACAGAGCCUCGGAUUUAUUGAG